GAAAGCAUCUAAGCGGGAAACUUGCCUCAAGAUGAGAUCUCACUGGGAACUUGAUUCCCCUGAAGGGCCGUCGAAGACUACGACGUUGAUAGGCUGGGUGUGUAAGCGUUGUGAGGCGUUGAGCUAACCAGUACUAAUUGCCCGUGAGGCUUGACCAUAUAACACCCAAACA
RNAcentral lists this ribosomal RNA (172 nucleotides) under Pseudomonas aeruginosa. RNAcentral describes it as "partial 23S ribosomal RNA". It matches the Rfam family "Bacterial large subunit ribosomal RNA", at positions 2773 to 2925 of the family's 2925-position model. Lineage: Bacteria; Pseudomonadati; Pseudomonadota; Gammaproteobacteria; Pseudomonadales; Pseudomonadaceae. The record is from RNAcentral.